Molecule: transfer RNA, 66 nt
Filed under: Plethodon petraeus (Pigeon Mountain salamander)
Lineage: Eukaryota; Metazoa; Chordata; Amphibia; Caudata; Plethodontidae
Description: tRNA-Tyr
Rfam family: tRNA
About the family: Transfer RNA (tRNA) molecules are approximately 80 nucleotides in length. Their secondary structure includes four short double-helical elements and three loops (D, anti-codon, and T loops).
Source: RNAcentral
GGUAAAGUGGCCGAAUAGGUAUUGAGUUGUAGCCUCAAUCAUGAAGGUCUAAUCCUUUUUUUACCA